AUCCAAGUCAUAGUUAGUGUAAACAUCCUACACUCAGCUGUAACUUCAAAGUAAAGGCUGGGAGAAGGGUGUUUACUUUGACUAGUUUGGA
Molecule: microRNA precursor, 91 nt
Filed under: Lepisosteus oculatus (spotted gar)
Lineage: Eukaryota; Metazoa; Chordata; Actinopteri; Semionotiformes; Lepisosteidae
Description: Danio rerio miR-30b stem-loop (ENSLOCG00000020609.1)
Rfam family: mir-30 microRNA precursor family (bases 10-85)
About the family: This family consists of the mammalian microRNA (miRNA) precursor mir-30a. Animal miRNAs are transcribed as ~70nt precursors and subsequently processed by the Dicer enzyme to give a ~22nt product.
Source: RNAcentral